Molecule: ribosomal RNA, 451 nt
Filed under: uncultured bacterium
Lineage: Bacteria
Description: partial 16S ribosomal RNA
Rfam family: Bacterial small subunit ribosomal RNA
Source: RNAcentral
GUGGGGAAUAUUGGACAAUGGGCGCAAGCCUGAUCCAGCCAUGCCGCGUGUGUGAAGAAGGCCUUUUGGUUGUAAAGCACUUUAAGCGAGGAGGAGGCUACCGAGAUUAAUACUCUUGGAUAGUGGACGUUACUCGCAGAAUAAGCACCGGCUAACUCUGUGCCAGCAGCCGCGGUAAUACAGAGGGUGCAAGCGUUAAUCGGAUUUACUGGGCGUAAAGCGCGCGUAGGUGGCCAAUUAAGUCAAAUGUGAAAUCCCCGAGCUUAACUUGGGAAUUGCAUUCGAUACUGGUUGGCUAGAGUAUGGGAGAGGAUGGUAGAAUUCCAGGUGUAGCGGUGAAAUGCGUAGAGAUCUGGAGGAAUACCGAUGGCGAAGGCAGCCAUCUGGCCUAAUACUGACACUGAGGUGCGAAAGCAUGGGGAGCAAACAGGAUUAGAUACCCGAGUAGUCC